CCAUAGCUCAGUUGGUAGAGCAUGAGACUAAGGUCGUGGGUUCAAGUCUCAUGUUGUGUGAAAGA
This is a non-coding RNA of Podarcis lilfordi (Lilford's wall lizard), 65 nucleotides long. The record is from the annotation of a GenBank genome assembly. Lineage: Eukaryota; Metazoa; Chordata; Lepidosauria; Squamata; Lacertidae.